RNAcentral lists this long non-coding RNA (793 nucleotides) under Homo sapiens (human). Its description in RNAcentral is "non-protein coding lnc-TCIRG1-2:7". Lineage: Eukaryota; Metazoa; Chordata; Mammalia; Primates; Hominidae. The record is from RNAcentral.
GCCCCGGCGGUCGCAGGGAAGGGGGAGAGGGGAGCGAGGCGCGGGGGGCGCCGGGAGAGCGCCUCCGCGGUGGGACGGAGCCGGACUGGGCCGAGCGAGGGAGGCUCCUGAGCCUCGGAGGACCCCGGGGUUGGCUUUGGGAGCUGAAAGUUUCCUUGGACCCCUCGGAAGCCCCGUGACAUCAGAGGCCGGGCCUGGCAGGGGCAGGCAGGAAACGUGUCUGGAGGCUACUGCCCUCUCCGCGUGACCUUGGGCGAGCAGCCUCCUCCUGGGGCUCAGUGGGUGUGAUUUUGUAACAUUUCCCAGCGCUGCCACAGGCGCGUCUCGCCCUGUCCAACGCGGAGCCCGAAGAAUUACUAAGAAACCGAGGUCUGAAGGAGGGAAGAGGUGACGGGCUCGAGGCCACACGGUGGGCCAGGCUGGGCCCGGCUGCACGCCGGCUACCGGGGCCCAGCCCUCUGCACGCCUCCCGCAGCCUCAGUUUCCCUGUCCGUGGUACUGAGGAUGCUCGGGCCUAGAAGUUCAGGGCUGGAGGCCCAGGGACCGUCGAGGGAGGGGCAUCAUCCCCGCCAUGGGGCCGCCGCAACUGCCCAGAGCACAGGCCAAAGACCCCUGAGGCCCCCUCCUCCUUCAGAGCAUGCACGUCGCAAAUUCUCAAUGACUGUUUGGAGGAAUGAAUAAAUGAAUUGUGAACAAAUGGUCUGAAGAUUCCAGAGGUAGCCUAAUGGGGCCCUGCUGCUUGAGUUCUAAUCCCAGCCCCACCAGUUGUUGGCUAUUUGGCCCUGGGCAGGUG